Molecule: ribosomal RNA, 381 nt
Filed under: uncultured marine Chaetocerotaceae
Lineage: Eukaryota; Bacillariophyta; Thalassiosirophyceae; Chaetocerotales; Chaetocerotaceae
Description: SSU rRNA
Rfam family: Eukaryotic small subunit ribosomal RNA
Source: RNAcentral
AGCUCCAAUAGCGUAUAUUAAAGUUGCUGCAGUUAAAAAGCUCGUAGUUGCAUUUCCGAGGCAAGGGAUUAGUCCGACCUUUGGUGGGUAUUUAAUCCUCUUGCCUCGUCCUUGAGUGGUGCUUCUUGGUAUUAAGUUAUCGAGGAGAUAGCCGCUCAUCGUUUACUGUGAGAAAAUUAGAGUGUUCAAAGCAGGCUUAUGCCGUUGAAUAUAUUAGCAUGGAAUAAUAAGAUAGGACCUCUGUACUAUUUUGUUUGUUUGAGAACCAAGGUAAUGAUGAAUAGGGACAGUUGGGGGUAUUCGUAUUCAGUUGUCAGAGGUGAAAUUCUUAGAUUUACGGAAGACGAACUACUGCGAAAGCAUUUACCAAGGAUGUUUUCA